AUGAGAAGAAGGGGUGAGGAGAGGCUAGGGGAAAGGAGGUGGGGAGAUGGAGAGUGCAGGGCAGGCCCUUGGUGGGGGAGGGUGUCUGCCGGUCGGGGGGAUCAAGGGGAUGUGGGCCCCCCACCAGCCGCCGGCAGUGAGCCCAGCCUUCCAGGCCCAGGCCCAACCCGCACCCUGCAGACACUCACGGAUCCUGGUGGGACGGAGGGCUGGGCUCCCUCGAGGCCCGAGGAUCGGAUCGACAAGGGGGAGAUGCUCCGGCGCUGGGCGGCGUGGCUGGGGCGGGGGGAGAGGGCAGUCCACAGGGCCCCCUCCCCCGCCUCUUGCGGUGGCCCCCAACUAAUCCCAAACAGGGGGCUCCCCGGGGGGGCAAGGAGGAAGGACAGGUGGAAGAGAAGAGGGCGGGCAGGGAGGGGAGGAAGGGGAAAGGAGAAAAUGGAGGAGGGAAGGGGAGAGAGGAGAGGGGAAGGAGGCAGGAAGGUGAAAACGCAAGGGAGGGGGCACAGGCAGAGCCGGGGGAGGGGGAAGCCGGCCCAGGCAAGGGCCCCCGCCCCCUCCCCUAGCCGGGCCGGCCUGGGGGGGCCACGGGGGGCGAGGCCUGGGUGGCGACAGGGAAGCCGGCCAUCAGGAGAGGUGGGGGAGGGGAGGGCUGGCUGGGGGGGGAGGGGGCCACCCCUUCCCCCCUCCCCCCUGGAGCCCGGGCCGGCCCUGGAUGAGGAGGCUGGGGCCUGGAGUCCUCAAGCCCUCAGCCCGCGCCGGGAAGGCAUGCUGGGGGCGGGGAGAGGCGGACGAGUGGCGGGGCCGGGGUGGAGGGGGUGUUGGGAGACCCCGAGAAGAGCCGCCGCCGACGAGCCGGGCCGGAGAGGUGGAGAGAUGGAGAAGAGGAGGGAGGGGAGGAUGGAGAGGAGCAGGUGGAAGAGGAAGGCGGAGGAGGGUGGGGUGUCCCGGGGCGCCCAGCGCAGGGCCUCGGCGGGAGGGCCUGGCCACGGACUCCUGGUCCCUUGCGAGGAGCAGCCGCCGGCUCCGGGCUCCCAGCUGGGCCUCCCUCCCCGCCGCCGCCGCCGCCGCCGCCGCCACUUCUCCCCUCCGAGGCCGCCGCCUGCCUGCCCGCCUGCCGCCCGCGCUGGGUCCUGGAGCGCAGGGGGGCGGGGGGAGAGAGGAGGGAGAGAGGGAGGGAGACAGGGAGGAGAGCGGGCAGGAGGAAGGGAGGGAGGCAGGCGGAGAUAG
This 1227-nucleotide long non-coding RNA is filed under the name Bos grunniens (domestic yak). RNAcentral describes it as "lncRNA (ENSBGRG00000016709.1)". Lineage: Eukaryota; Metazoa; Chordata; Mammalia; Artiodactyla; Bovidae. The record is from RNAcentral.